Long non-coding RNA from Etheostoma spectabile (orangethroat darter), 345 nucleotides. RefSeq lists it as uncharacterized. NCBI's taxonomy places the organism in Eukaryota, Metazoa, Chordata, Actinopteri, Perciformes, Percidae. The record is from RefSeq and is a predicted model, not a curated record. The transcript has 2 exons.
GUUGACGGUACAGUGGCUUUGAAUUUUUCCAAUUAAAUACAAUCGCAUGACAAGGAACUUGAGAGAAACUUUAACUUUUCUUGUUGUUCUUAACAGCAGAACAUCAUCAGACAAAGGGAGGUGGCUCAGCCAUGGAGAAGGAAAUGAGAGCCAUGAGGACAUCCGUUACCCGCAUGGCACAGCAGAUGGAUACAUUCGAGGAGAAGAUGGAUGAGCUGCUCAUGCUCUUAAGGAGCUCCCUGUCACCUCCCUCUGCUCCAGGCAAUGACAUGUUGCUGUCGCCCUGCUCGACCAUCACAGAGCUGCAGGUGUUUGACAGGAGUCUCGGUCAACAGGAGAGGAGGA